ACCACUCGAUAUACUCUUCCUCCUUGGGGAAGAGCAUCCACAUGUCGGCGAAGAAGCGGGACAGCCAGAAGGUUGGGUACACCGGGCCAAUCACACAAGCUACCCCACCAGACCUCAACACCCUGUAUGCUUCUUUGAUCCCUCGCUGUGGGUCAGGCCAGUACUCUAUGCUGCAAGUUACCAUGACAGGGCAGGAAAAUUAUAGGAUUUAGAAGUCGCUUAGAACAACAACAUGGUCUCCAAAACACAACUAAGUACUUUUUAAGACAAAUCUAUUCAUAUGCUUUUCACCUUUGCAAACUCAACAAUUUAAAAAUUAUUAUUGAUGAUUUUAUAUUCCAAUAUUUAACCCAAACUUUGUCCAAUACGACUUCUAAUUCUAUGCGGAGAGAUUACUUGGGUAGCUGCAAUCAUCAGUUCAUCACAGCACCGUUUAUUUGGAACAUAUUCACAAUACGCACAGCAGGUAGUAUCGAGUAGCAGGGAAGAAGGGGACGAGAAGAGAGACCUGCCGGCGGAGACAUAUCGGUCGAAGGAGUCGGUAGGGAACGGGAGGUCCUCGGCGUCGCCCUCCAUGAUGGUGACCUCCUUGAGGGCCUCCUUCUGCCGUGCCUUCUGGAGCUGGUCCGGCGACUGGUCGAGCAGCGUGAUGUUCUCCGGGUCGACGUGCUUGACGAUGCCGAGCGUGGUGAACCCCGUGCCGCCGCCGACGUCGACGACCUUGAGGUGGCGGCUGUAGAGGAGGCCGGCGGGCUCCAGCGCGUCGUCGCGCAUGUCCUCGGUGUAUUGUUCCGGGUUGAAGACGCGGUCGUAGCCGAUGGAGAUGAAGCGGUAGAACCAUAAGGCCUCCUUCUUGUGCUGGAUGAAGCGCGGCGCCGUGACGGGCCUUGCCGAGGCCGGUGCCGCCGCGGGGAAGGACGACGCCGCUCGCCGCAGCCUGGCACCGUCGGUGAUGGGGCUGCUCAUCUGCUUGGAUGGAGCCACGCUCUGCUUGUGGAGAGAGGACAGUGAUCACGAGAGGAUUUUUUUUCUUUUUUUAAGAUGUAAGGUGCAGUUUAAUACCGUCCAACCACGCGCUUAAAACAAUAAAAACUCUGAGGAAAAUACGCACAUGAUGUCAAGGGUGUUGAUGCUCAAGGUAGCUGGCCCUCGACUUCGAAGCUCGUAGCUCGGGUGAUGAUUAACAAAGAGAUUAGGAAUAAGUAUAUUCUUGCUUUGCUUCAUACUCAGCUGGUUACAGGAUAUAUAAAUAGAAGUUUCCUUGGUUCAUAGGGCUUGUUUAGAUCUAAAAUUUUUUUAGAUUUUAACACUGUAGUAUUUUUGUUUUUAUUUGGCAAAUGUUGUCCAAUCAUAGACUAACUAGGCUCAAAAGAUUCAUCUUGCGAUUUACAGGCAAUUGUACAAUUAGUUUUUGUUUUUAUCUAUAUUUAAUGCUCCAUACAUGUGCCGUAAAAUUUGAUGUGAUGAGAAAUCUUGAAAAGUUUUUGGUUUUGGGAUGAACUAAGGGCAUGUACAGUCCACAGACGGGUUAUUAUCUGUAAGUUAUUAUCAUAUGAGAUAUAGACAGGUAAAUAGACAACUCAUACAGUGGACCGUCUAUUGGACUGUCUAUGAACUAUUUAAUGUGAUUACACAUCUAGGAUCCAUCGUGAAUAAGCUCUACGUGUGCUCUCUUAUUGUUUGUUUAUAACAACGAGUCAAGCAAAUAAUUUUCAUUUCAAAGGAUCAUAACAACAACACUGAAUAAAUAAGCUAACUGUAGGCAUCUGUACGUAUGUAAACACCGAACAAAACAAGCUACCUGCGGGCAUCAUUCAAGGCAUCUGUAUGUAUGUGCAACCGAACAGAACAAGCUAACUUAUUUUUGUUUUUUGAGCAUGUGUGUGUGCUCUCCGAGUACUGAACAAGCUAACUGACAAAUACGACACGGACUGAGUGUACUGAAAGUCUAAAUCAUGGCAGCGCGUGUGUGUGCUCAUGGCAGUGCCCAGCAUGACUUCCUCCGCGCACGGCCAUCCUGGAUCCGCCCAGCCGUCGACUCGUCGUACAGCGCGGCUCUCUGCAGACGAGAGCUUCUUGGGCCACGAGCCGCACUCGUCCUAUCGUGAAGCGACGAAGAGGGGUCGUCUGCUCGUGCGCAGGGUCUGUUUUGCAAAAUAAACAACAUACAGACGGGGCUUACAGCCGUGCUGUACAUGCCCUAAACAAGGCCUAUGCUCCUCCAAGCCUAGCCAUAACUACUAAUCCCCAACCAACUCUUAAAUAUUGUUGAUCCACAUGCUCCUCUACUGCUAUGCUCCUCACAGCUUUGCAUGCGCCUUUACUCAUAACUACUAAGACCAGUUUUAGUAGGAGUUUCAUUUGCAAUUAAUGAGUUGCCACAUAUUCGCUCGGUACUCGCAAAGAAAGUCAUUUAGAACAGCGAUACGGUCUCUAAAGCCUAACUUUGACUCUUUGUUUUUAUAAAAAUAUUUAUCAAAAGGUGGUAUAUGUAUAUUUUUUGAAAGUAUUUUUCAACGCAAAUCUAUUUGUAUGCUCUUCACAUUUCUAAACUCAACAACUUAAAAGUUAUUCACGAUUUAUAUUCCCAAUAUUUAACUCAAACCUUUUUCCAAAACUAUUUCUUUUAUGAGUACAGAGGGGGUAAGCACUUUUGAUGAUGGCACUUAGAUGCAUAAUCGGUGUUUGUUGCGUCUGCGAUCUAUAUGUUGUAGACUAGAGUCAGCACUGGCUUCAUGAUGAGUUCUUGGAAAAGAUGGACUAAAUGUUGUUUAGAGCUGGUGUGGCGAACUUAAUUUAGCCAAGAUGGUUGCACAAUUUCUUAAUAUAUAAUAAGCUCAUGUAGAACCACAAACCUCCAUAGCCUAGGCUGCAGAUGUUACCGCUCCUCGCGCAUGUAAUAGUUAUUUGCUAUCUUCUACUUAUUAUAUAUAAAUCAAGCCGGGAAAUUGGAUCUUUCAAAAAAAAUAGAUGAAAGUCUCUUGAUAUGAAUAUCAACUCUCUAUGAGCCAUAGAGUUAAAUGUCUAUAAAACUAUAAAAUGAAACUCUGUAUUGAAAGUGGUUGUUUCAUCCGUGUUUCAUUUCAUUCCAGAUGAUAUGACAGUCUUGAAAAUAACGCUAUAAAAUUCUCCAUUGAGACUGGUCUAAUUCUCAACCAUCUACUAAUUACUAUUGAUUGCAUUCACCCAUGGUCACCAAAGUACAGUACAACGCUAUCGAAGCCCAUCGUGACUUGUGCUCAAUUGCUCACGACAGGCUAACCACCAGCGGACUAACUGAACAUCCAUGGACGACACCGGCACGGCCAACUGAAGACCAUGGAGGACCCUCUGGUCCAGAGUUCUCUGAAGAAUACGCAGCCUGCAAGCAAGUGAUCCGUCGUCUCGACACCGUGUGCCCAGAGCGCACACAGGUUAUCAUCCUGCAGAUUGUGUCUGUGUCGCCAUUCUGCCGUCGUCCAUAGUCUGCUGUGCACUGAUAACCAAAAGAAGAAUUUGACCCUAAGAACUCGGUGGCGCUGCAGUUUUCCAGAGCUGCGCUGCCCCCUUCCAGCCUGCAGGAUCUGUAAGCACCAUUUGGUGUCUCAUGUUGGGUUUAGCCUACCCCGAUUUGCUUGGGAAAAGGCAUACUGUUGUUUUAUUGUUCUGCAACAUACUAUUUUUAAAAUGAUUACAAACUUCAGAGAUUUGAGUUGAUAUGUCUAAUAUAUAUCUCUGAAAGCAUGCAACUAGAUAUAACCCCUUAUGUGUGUAUAAUAAUAUUGCAGGCAGUUUGCUUAUGAAUAUCUGGAUCCAGCUUGUGAGUUCACCAUUCUUUAGACAGACAGCAAAAAGGAACAUGCUCUUUAGGAAUUGUAUAAAACAUUGGGGUGGUAUAUGUCCAUGCCAAAAGGAAAAAAUGACAAAAUUACUGAUUACUAGUUCAGAUCGAUACCUGGUGCACAUAUCCCGUCGACGAUUUAUACACCCACUCUAGCAACUAGCACUGGUGAUAAAAUGGUCAGUCGAUGCAAUCAUGUAAAGUGGCUCCUUCAGUAUCAUUUAAGCACAUUAUUAAGCACAAAAGAAAAAUCGGUUUCAACCAUUUGUUCUUGAUUUGCAAUUAUUUCAGUCUAGAGAUGUAGUAUUUAGUUAUUAUGCUCUAUAGAAUAAGGUUGUUUAGUUAUUAGGCAUGUGAAGAAAAUUACAUGGCUUGAAGCGUGCAAUUUCUGAUGCGUACUGGUUGGCUUCUACCUGGAACUAGAGUCAUAAUGCUUGGAGUUGGAAGUUGGAAGUUGGAACGCACACGCCCACAUCAAGGCACCUCGGACCACAUCUGACUCCAUCCGCUGCAAGCACGUCAUAGAGACAUAGACUGUGAUGUGAAUGUAACGUGAUUGAAAUUGUGAGAGAGUUGAUAAAGACGAGGUUCCUCAGUCUAUGUUGUCAUCAUUCUAUGUGUAAACAGUGUUUGAAAUUAAUUUCCGGAACAAACAUCUUCACCUUUUAACCACCCACAACAACCACAAGUAAUAUGGUAGUACCUUUAGAUAGCGAAGGCAUGAUAGCACACCACUUGGCACGAUGGCAUCAUCCAAUCCACUCAUUGCUGCACGAUGGCGUAAGGCACUGGUGGCUGCGGCGGAGCAUUGGGUUCGGGUGUUCACUGUUCAGUGGAGGGCAGAGCAGGGGAGGAGCGCGUGCAAUUGCAAGGGAAGUGCUUCAGGAGCUCGAAGACGACGCACGAGCACGAGUACGAGGAGGCAUAUGACGCAUGAACACACGGGCACGCGCCGAGAAACCUAGCUCGCCGCCGCCACCGCCGUUGUGAUUUUCCGCACCGUCCACCUCGUAUCCGUCCUCCGCCGUUGAUGUUGAACGUGGUACACUUAAAAGAUGCGGACUAAGGGCACUCACAAUGCAGACUCUAUCAUAAAGUCUAAAGUUAUUUAUUACCUCGAACAAUGUGGACUCUAAAUAAAACUUGAAGUCUUAUUUUUUCUACCUCUUUUUACAAUAAAUAUGCUACCACAUCAGUAAAAUACCAUAAAUAAUAUGUAAUUAAUUGUCUUGGACUCUGUGAUAGAGUCUUGCAUUGUGAGGGCACUCACAAUGCAGACUCUAUCAUAGAGUCUAAAGUUAUUUAUUACCUCGAACAAUGUGGACUUAGAGUCUAAAUAAGACUUGGAGUCUUAUUUUUUCUAUCUCUUUCUUCAAUAAAUAUGCUACCACAUCAGCAAAAUACCAUAAAUAAUAUGUAAUUAAUUGUCUUGGACUCUGUGAUAGAGUCUUACAUUAUGAGCGCCCUGAGUGCCCUAAGGGCACUCACAAUGCAGACUCUAUCAUAGAGUCUAAAGUCAUUUAUUACCUCGAACAAUGUGGACUUAGAGUCUAAAUAAGACUUGAAGUCUUAUUUUUUCUACCUCUUUCUUCAAUAAAUAUGCUGCCACAUCAGCAAAAUACCAUAAAUAAUGUAUAAUUAAUUGUCUUGGACUCUAUGACAGAGUCUUGCAUUGUGAAUGCCCUAAGGCUAGUCUCAAUUCAUGUUUUAUGAGAGUGUCAUGCACAUUAAAUAGGGUGCCACACAUAAGCAAAUUUGCUGACUUGGCAGGGUCAUUAGAUGAGAGAGGAGUUUCAUCUCUAUCUAGUUUAUAGUCUUGGUAACUGUGCCAUGAAACUUUACAUUGAGACCGGUCUAACUACUUGAAUCUGUGAAAGUUAAUCUCACAUAUUUUCCUUUUAUAGUUAGAAUUUGUGCAUAUGUAGAAAGUUACUUAAUGUGGCCUAUAGUGACAAUACACUAGUGAUUCUACUAAUUUACGAGAUUACUGCAACUCCUAGUAAUUCACUAUAUAAGCUAUAACAUUGUGAUAAAUAUCAUCAUUAAUUAUAGUAACACAUGUACAUAAACAUAAAUAUGUAACCAUUUCAUCGUAAGUAAAUAUCUAUAUUAUUAUAAAUCGAGAUGGUUAUAGAAUAAAUUAUUAUUCUAAAUAAAUACCAAUAUUUUAAAUAGCGCGCUAUUUUCACGCUAUAGCGCCGCUAUAGCGGCCAGAAUAAGUCGACGCGAAGCUAUACCUGAUUUUUAUGCUAUCAGCGCUAUUAGCGCUAUAGCGCCGCUAAACUGAAAUAGCGCCAUAGUGCCGCUAUUUGCGCGCUAUUGCUGUUUAUCUACUGAUAAGAAAAAAAGGCGGUUAUGCACUUAUUUGUUGUGCAGUGCUUAUGCACUUGUGGUUAUGCACUAUGCAGUCAUGCAUUAUGCUUAUGAGUUAUGUAUUAAACUGUGAAACACCUGUGAUUUGUGAUUGUGAAAUAUGAUGGUUGUUUGAACUUGUUGCUGUCUAUUAUAUAGUUUGCCUGUUUCUAAAUAAAUAGCGCACUAUAGCGUGGAUAGCUACAGCACGUUGUUGUGUACAACAGCCGCUAUAGCAGGGCUAUAUCGCCGCUAUAACGUUCGCUAUAGCGCAAAUAGCGUCUGGGAUAGAAGACGCUAUUUUCUAUGCCCGUUAUUUAAAACAUUAAUAAAUACCUAUGUUAUCUUAAAUCAAGAUGGUUAUAUAAUAAAUUAUUCUAUGAUCGAAACAAGAUGGCUAAUAUCAGUGGGGGGUUUCUUAGGAGUUUCGUGAGUAUUGCAUGAGAUGAUAUAUAAAGAUAGAUGUUAAAAGUUUUCUAUGAAAAGAAAUGAGCUGAUAUAUAUGGCAUAUUAUAUAUAGAUAAAGAGAGUUAAAAGUUUUAUAUAAAAUGAAAUGAGUUUGGUGAAGACCAAAUUUAUCUAUACUGGUAUUUUACACAUACGAGAGUUGUAAUGGUUUCAAAUAGCGGGCUAUAGCUUCCGCUAUAGCCGGAUUUAGCGGACUUGCAAGGCCAGCGCUGGGAGAGUUCCCUUUUAGCGCUAACUGAUCUUGGCUGCUAACAGCGGCGAUUAACGCGCUAGAAACGCCAAACGGGAAUGAUUUAGCGCCGCUAAGCAGUUUCUGGUGGAGUGGUGGGCCGAAAUCAGAGUGGGCUUCCUGUAUUUUUCAUCAGCCGGAAGCCCAAAACAGCAUCAGCGGCCCAAAAUGCCACCUGAACCUACGAUUCCCUAAUCUCAGCGUGGCCCAAAAGCAAGCCCGCGAUGGGAGCACUUGACACUUGACAGUCGACACCCUGUAGGCUGCACCAAUCAGAGCGCUUCUUUCACAAAUUUGUGACGUGUAUAUUUCACAAAACCGCUAAAGACCUGUUCGUUUAGACAAGGAUUGGCCUGGGAAUCGUUCCUGCUGCUGAUAGCUUAUAUAAAUAUGACAAAUAAUCAGGUUUGAAAUAAUUUCAGGCCAUAGUUUCCCUUCAAACGAACCAGCCCUAAAUGAGUUAGCGGACGCUAUAUUCGGCUAUAGCGUUUCUAGCUUCUGCAGAAACUUACCGCUAAGUGCCUUAGCCGGCGAUUUUAAACUUUUUUCAUAAAUUUGUGACCUAUAUUUCACAAAACUGCUAAAUGAGUUAGCGGACACUAUGUCCGACUAUAACGUUUCUAGCGUCUGUAGAAACUUACCGCUAAGUACCUUAGCAUCUGCAAAAUACUAUUAUAGUACUUUUAUUUGUAUUUGACAAUUAUUACUUAAUUAUAGACUAAUUAGGUUUAAAAAAUUCGUCUCGUAAAUUACAUAAGAACUAUGUAAUUAGUUUUUUUAUCUAUAUUUAGUGUUUUAUACAUAUGCCGCAAAAUUCGAUGUGACGAAAAAUCUUAAACAAUUUGUAAAUUUUUUCAGAAAAUAAACGAGUCACCAGGCCUAUACCAAAUAGUUCCUUACCGUGCAGCGACUGUAGUCCACUCCUUCCCAUAAAGUCAGGCAGUGAGGGGGCUAUUGAAUGCGGUCUCUUAAGCGCGCCUCACAUGCAGCUGAGUAGAAGCUUCUCUCUCUCUCUCUAGCUCGCUCUCUCCCUCUCCUGCAUCCUAUUCCUAGCGCCAUCCAUCACACGAACACAUACGGCGCAAUUAAGUGCUACGUGUUAUCGCCGCUGAAGAAGGGACCUUAUCAAUCAGCUAAUAAUUCAUCCAAACAAACAAAACAAUCACCAACCUGCUUAUAUCUCUGCUACAUACGGAGUAAUGCACCUAGCUAGCACACCCACCUAACCGCGCUGCCUUCUUUCUUCAAGCUCGUUGCGACCGAUCUUGAGUGGCCGGCCGGGCAGCCGCGCGCAGCACCGGCGGCAACAAUGUCGUCGUCAUUAUUCCAGAUGAGGUCGUACUUCUUCUUGCCGUGCUUGAUGAUCUUGUUAUUCUUGCUGCUCGUCGUCGUCGGAGGUGCGGUGGUGGCCGGGGAGAAGAAGAAGAAGACGAAGGUGCCGGCGAUCAUCGUGUUCGGCGACUCUUCCGUGGACACGGGCAACAACAACUUCAUCCCGACCAUCGCCCGGAGCAACUUCUGGCCCUACGGCCGCGACUACGCCGAUGGCCUCCCCACGGGCCGGUUUUCCAAUGGACGCCUCGCUACCGACUUCAUCUCCGAGGCCUUCGGCCUUCCCCCCUCCAUCCCCGCCUACCUCGACAAGACCUGCACCAUCGACCAGCUCUCCACUGGAGUCUCCUUCGCCUCCGCUGCCACUGGCCUCGACAACGCCACCGCCGGCGUCUUGGUAAUUAUAUUCCUUCCUUCCUCCUUCUUCUAGCUCUAGCUCUAGCUUUAUUUCUCCUCGAUCGAUCCAUCGGUGAUCGAAAAUGGCCGGCAUGUCUGAUCGAAAAAUGGCCGCCGGCCGGCAGUCCGUGAUCACACUGGAUGAGCAGCUGGCCUACUUCAAGGAGUACACGGACCGGCUGAAGAUCGCCAAGGGCGAGGCGGCGGCGAAGGAGAUCAUCGGCGAAGCGCUCUACAUCUGGAGCAUCGGCACCAACGACUUCAUCGAGAACUACUACAACCUGCCGGAGCGGUGGAUGCAGUACAGCGUGGGAGAGUACGAGGCCUACCUGCUGGGGCUCGCCGAGGCAGCCAUCCGCCGCGUGCACGAGCUCGGCGGCCGGAAGAUGGACUUCACGGGGCUCACGCCCAUGGGCUGCCUCCCCGCCGAGCGGAUCAUCGGCGACCCCGGCGAGUGCAACGAGCAGUACAACGCUGUUGCCAGGACCUUCAACGCCAAGCUGCAGGAGCUCGUCGUCAAGCUCAACCAGGAGCUCCCGGGACUGCAGCUCGUCUUCGCCGACACGUACCAGCUCCUUGCCAACGUCGUCAACAAGCCGGCCGACUAUGGUGAGCAGCAACCCCCAUGCACCGCGCGGUGUCUUUCUACUUUAUUAACAUCUUAUACUAGUUUAAAAUUGGCCGUUUGGGAUGACCAUAAUUAAUUGCAAACUUAGAAACGGGGAAUAACUAUUUGUCCUCGUUUGUAAAACUCAUCCGACAAACAUAAGGGAUAAGGCUCCGCUGCCUAAACCCACCUACAAACCCACAACUACAAAAUAUCUCACACACAUAACAUAACAAUAGAAUUAAUGCAUCGUUCUAGCGCACUUAGAUAAAGAUGAGCAGGGUGCCCAGCUCGGCAUGGCACGACAGGGCAUGGUGUGCUACCAGGUCGUGCCUCCUUGGGUAUCAUGCCUGGUCAACGGCCCAGCAUGGCCCUUCUCGAGCCAAUUUUCCGACCAUGCCAGCCCGAAAAGCAUGGGCCCAAAAACUCAUCGGACUAGCCUAGAGCCUGUGAAUGCUAAGAGAAAGAGGGGGGAAGGGGAGGCCGCGAGAGGUGGCAGCUGCUGCUGGCGCGCGUGCGCCUCGCGCUUGCCCCGGAGGACCAACAACAUGUCAUAGCCAUGGAGGACGAGGCUGGAAGCCAAAUCUAUGAGGGGGCUUCGAGGAGGCGACCAGCCAUGGAGGAGCGUCACCGCUCGCGUCGCAGAGGAUUCGAGAAGGCCGCUGGUAGCAGGAGGUGGCGAUGACCGCCAAUGAACUCGCCCUUAGGUCCGUCGAAGCAUUAGGAGAGGGAGGAGGCGCUCGCUCUCGCCCGUCGACACUGCAAGGAGAGCCCGCGCAAGGAAGUGGAGGGGGUGUCCGUGUUGCGCGCAUGUGAGGUAAGGAAGGGGCAGCUGUCGUGCUAUGGCUCACGCGACACGAGGGAAAGGGAAGGUCGGAGGGGGCAUCCACACUACAGGGGAAGGCCUCACCCUCGCGUAAAAGGCGGUGGCUAUUGUAUACAAAGGAGGGAGAGUGGGGAUGGUAGAUUAGAGUUCCUAGGCAUCGUCGGCUGGUAGCGAGCCUCUCCCACUAACUUGCGGGUUGUGUCAUGCCACCCGGUGUUGUGCAUCGGGUUGGGCCAGCCUAGGCCCACACAAUGCUGGGUCGUGCCAUGCUUGGGCCGGGCCAAAAAAACAUGCUUUGGACUAGCUAGGCCAUUGGGCCGCGGGCUACAUGUUCAUCUUUACACAUAGACCAGUGGUACUGGUAAGAAAAAGGGGCCGCGAGAGGUGGUGGAAGUUGUCGGCGUGUGCCUCACGCUAGGACCAUCAACAGGUCGUAGCCAUGGAGGACGACGCUGGAAGCCGAAUCUGUGAGGGGCUUCAAGGAGGCGACCAAUCACCGUGGCAGAGUAGCCAAGGAGGAGCACAACCGCUCGUGUUGCAGAGGAUUCGAGAAGGCCGCCGGUAGCAGGAGGUGGUGGCGGCUGCCAGUGAACUUGACCUUGGAUCCAUCGGGGCGGGAGGAGGCGCUCGCCCUCGCCCAUCGACGUUGCAAGGAGAGCCCGUGCGAGGGAAGGGGAGGGGCGUCCGAAGAUGUUUCUCUAGAUCUCUUCUCCCUUUAGGCCAAAAUAAGUUAUCAUCUAGUACCAACUCCAUUUUCUUGGCACCAAAGUAUGAAAUGAAAUUAAAGAACAAUCUAGCUAGAAUGAAGAGUUUAGUAGCUUGAAAUAAAAACCCAUAAUGCAAAUAGUAUUUUUUCCAUCCCUUGCCAUCUCUUUGAAAAUGGUUGAGAAAUAUAUGGAAUCAGUAGCAUACAAGUCUUUGACACCUUACAACUCAAACAUUUUAGCAACAAGCUAUGACAACAAAGCAUAGCAUCAAGACAAAGCAACAACUAUAAACAUUGUAAGGGAAAGAAAGACAAUGAAUUCACUCCACUUUACAUGUGUUUAGUGCAGUUUUAGUUGGCUUUUAAGAUGUUUCAAAUAUUCAUAGUUUGAACGUAUCAUAAAUUCAUUAUGGAAAAAAGGUAGUGACUUAUAUGUUGAGAUAGAACUUGUAGUGAGGAUCAGCUUUAUAAGAGAUAUACAUAUAGAUAUAGAUGUUGAUGUAUAUGCUGCAAAAAUUACAAAAAUAACUAUUAAUUAUUUUUUAAUCCUAUGUAUAUAUGCAGCAUGUGCAAAGAGUUCUAAUCAUUAGUUUCAUUUUUUAAAUUAUCGGUUGCACAGGAUUUGACAAUGCUGUGCAAGGUUGUUGCGGUACGGGGCUUUUUGAGGCAGGUUACUUUUGCAGCUUCAGCACCUCAACGCUAUGUGAAAAUGCCAACAAGUAUGUGUUCUUUGACGCAAUCCAUCCCACAGAGAAGAUGUACAAAUUGCUCGCUGAUACAGUCAUCAACACCACGUUGCAUGUAUUCAUGUGAAAUUAUUGAUCUUCUUAGUGGAAAAGAAUCAUAGAUUGGUCUACAAUGCACAUAGACACCUUCUCCACAGACAACUUUGAAUGUUGAAACUAUAUCAUAUCCAGUUAUUGCAGCACGUGUGCUAUAAAUCUUGUAUUCCAGAUCAAUGUUGUAAUCACGAAUAGCAGUAUAUGCAUACAUAGUGUUUCUGUGUUGUGGCAUAUGACCAAUAGGUAGCAUUGUUGGUAAAAGUGUUGGAUUCGGCAGUGAAGGUGAUAAUGCUUCAUAAUGACCGUUGGAUGAUCCGGUGAUGAUGAGAUCUUCAUCACCAGUUCACCACAUGGUCAAGUGUUUGAUUCGGCAGUCGUGACCACGAGAGAACAGCCCUCCGGCCCAUCUGUAUUCUGGGCUAGCCCAUCGUGAGCAAGACCCAUCGCUGUGGGCUUGGGCCAACUAGGCCAAUAAUAGGUUCUUUCUUUCAAUCGUUGGAGGUUCUUCUUCUCAAGUUCCCGCCGCCCUCAACGACCAAGAGUAGUGAACAGCACUGUGCGAGUAAUUGUCUGAGCCUUUGCGCACCUAUCUUUUCUUCUUGUCACGGUGGUAGCCACAGAAUGAUGCAAGACAAAACAAAACAAAACAAAACAAAACAAAACAAAACAAAACAAAACAAAACAAAGCAAAGCAAAGCAAAGCAAAGCAAAGCAAAGAAGAGUACAACAGCGAAGAUAAGUGGUAGUAGAUGGGCGCUUAUCUCUGUCGUUGCUGCUACUGUGCUACAGGUUUGUAAUUGUAAUUGUAACUUUGGUUCAGCACGCUCCAGCUUCAGGUGCCAAACAAAGAUGUGGACUGUGGUAUCAGAACUCGAGAACGAAACACUCCCCAACCACCAAGGAAACAUGGAACCGGACUCCCUUCACUUCUCAAACACAGCCGGAUGAGAACUGCAUGAGAACAGAAGAUCAACGAGUCAAAUCAUCCUAAUAAUAAACAAAUAAACAUGCGACGGCUUCAGGCCUGAAAACAUACUUAUCCAAAGACAAAAUGGUCAUCAAACAUGAUUAUCUUUCACCAUUGCUGGUGACUAAGCUGUCUCAACUUUCCAAGCCAAUCCUUCAUUGCUUAUUUGAUCAUGUGUAUGUUAUUGUGCAGAAAUUCAAACUCCUCGAGAACAUUAAGCAUGCUUUCAUACUUGCUACCAGAUGCAAAGACAUAGAACAAGGUUUGUCUGUAAUGAUAUGAGUGGGAGCUCAAAACUGGAGAUAGCAUUUCCAGAUUUAACAAACCAAUAAGAGUUACCCUUUGCAAUUUCAGAGAAGCUCCUUAACCAGAUAAGGUUUUGAUUUAAUAACAAACCAAUAAGUGUCACCCUUUGCAAUUUCAGAGGAGCUUCUUAACCAGAUACGGGUUUGACAUCUGUAUAUUCAAAUAUCUUACCGGACCAUUUUCAACUUUGAACAGUACAACAUUAUACAGUUAUAUAAGUCCAGUCAAAGUCUUUAGCUUAAUGCUAACUCAACUAUAUUAGUUAAUUACCAACGUCAAAACUAGCAGCAGAUCCAUCGAUUUCAAUGCAUCAGCAGCAGUUUUCAUACAUCUGAAAGGGAUAGCCUAGUCAAAUAUGUGCAAGCACAUUAUAACCUACAACUGUUUCCAUAUAACAUCUAGCCCAGCAUGGUACACAUCAGAGCACCGGCUUAGCUAGGUAGUUAGAAAGACAACACAUUAGCAAGCAACCAUCAUACCUCUCUAGCCAUGGAAGAAGCAUUAAUCCUCCUGGUUCUCAUCACCUUCAUGGUGACAGUGCCAGACACCUCUUCUGGGCUUGCCAUAUCAUUGCCAGGGUGCCCUGACAAGUGUGGUAAUGUGUCCAUCCCUUACCCCUUUGGCAUCGGUGAUGGCUGUGCUGCAGGCAACCUGAACCGCUACUUUGCUGUGACCUGCAAGGACAGUUUCCAGCCACCAAGGCCUAUGAUUGGUGACCCUUCCAGUGCUGUAGAGGUCAUCGACAUCUCCCUGGAGCAUGGUGAGGUGCGUGUUUACGGCGAUGUCAGCUACUACUGCUUUACGUCAAACACCACCAUAUCAGACAACAACACUGCCGGAUUCAGCCUUGAGAACACACCAUUCAUCCCCUCCACCCGCAACCGCUUCAUGGCCAUCGGCUGCAAUACCCUGGGGCUCAUUGGCGGCAACACACACACAGCAACUCAGACAUUUAUGUGACUGGCUGCUACUCAUAUUGCCAAGGCAUCAACAGUACAUCUGACGGAGCACCAUGCACUGGGAUGGGAUGCUGUGAGACCACCAUAUCCCCCAACCUCACCAACUUCGCAGCACUACUGUACAACCAGAGCAGCGUGUGGAGUUUCAAUCCAUGCUUCUAUUCGAUGGUUGUUGAGGACGGGUGGUACAGCUUCAGGAGGCAGGACCUUGUCGGGCAUCUUGGGUUCAUAAAGGAAAGAGCAAAGAGAGGUGUUCCGGUUGUCGGUGACUGGGCCAUUAGAAACGGAUCCUGUCCAAAAGAUGGGGCAAAAGCACCUAAAGACUAUGCUUGUGUCAGUACCAACAGCUACUGUGUGAGUGCAAGCAAUGGGCCAGGGUACCUUUGCAACUGCUCUCAAGGUUACGAGGGAAAUCCUUAUCUUUCCGGAGGCUGCCAAGGUAUUGUUUGUUCAAAUGAACUCGCUGUUUAGAGUUUAGGAAUAAGAACAGCAACUGUAGGAACAAUUUUAGCCGGCGUGUGGUGAAAGCCAACUCUUUAAUUGAAGGCAAAACUUAAGAUUUUUUUUUGUUACUUGUCCAAGUUUUUUUUAACUUCAUAUAAUGAAUUAAAUUGUAUUUUGGUUUUCUUUUUCCUUGUUAAAUCCAUGUUAGCCUGUUUUCUUAAUAUUUCCCUACAGACAUAGAUGAGUGCAAGCUCCGUAAGCAGGACCUGAAGUACAAAGAAUUAUAUCCAUGUGAAAAUGGGGUCUGUCACAAUACACAAGGAGGCUAUAUAUGCAAGUGCAGGAUAGGAACAAGAUCAGAUGGUACAAAUUCUGGAUGCCAGCCUGUGCUUCGCCAAGCUGAACAGGUGGCCAUAGGUAAGGAUAAUACUUGAGAAUAGACUUGAACAAUGUAACAUGUCUUUCUAGGAUUCUGAGGCAUCUAAUCAGAAGAAAAAACAUUGUGCAGGCCUCUGUGCAGGUGCAGUUGUGGUGGUAUCUUUGACGUGCUUAUUGGUUAUGAAGUUACAACGGAACAAGCAUAGGAGGGAGAAGGAUGAUUAUUUCAAACAAAAUGGAGGUCUCAAAUUAUAUGAUGAGAUGAGAUCAAGGCAAGUUGACACCAUUCAUAUACUUACAGAGAAAGAGAUAAAGAAAGCCACAGAUAAUUUUAGUGAAGGUCAUGUUCUUGGAUGUGGUGGCCAUGGCAUGGUCUAUAGAGGAACUUUACAUGACAACAAAGAAGUUGCCAUAAAGAAGUCCAAAAUAAUAAAUGAUGACAGCAGAGAAGAAUUUGUCAAUGAGAUAAUAGUCCUGUCACAAAUUAACCACAGGAACAUUGUGAGGUUACUAGGAUGCUGCUUGGAGGUAGAUGUGCCGAUGUUGGUGUAUGAGUUCAUUUCCAACGGUACGCUCUUUGAGUUUCUUCAUGGAACUGAUGCCAGAAUACCAAUACCAUUGGAUCUAAGAUUGAAUAUUGCUACACAGUCAGCAGAAGCUCUUGCCUACAUUCAUUCAUCAACUUCUCGCACAAUUCUGCAUGGAGAUGUCAAAUCCCUAAAUAUACUCUUGGAUAACGAAUACAAUGCAAAAGUGUCAGAUUUUGGAGCAUCAGCACUGAAGCCCAUGGACAAAAACGAUUUCAUUAUGCUUAUCCAAGGAACUCUUGGUUAUAUCGACCCUGAGAGUUUUGUCAGUCACCGCUUAACUGAUAAAAGUGAUGUAUACAGCUUUGGGGUUGUUCUUUUGGAGAUAAUGACAAGAAAGAAAGCCAUAUAUAUUGAUUCUUCUAACGAACAAAAAGCACUAUCCUAUACUUUCAUACUAAUGAUCGACCAGAAUAAGCUCCGGGAUAUAUUGGACACUGAAAUAGUUGAUGAUGAAGUUAUGAUAGUACUCGAGAAACUAGCUCAGCUCGUCAUGCACUGCCUGAGCCCAAAAGGAGAUGAAAGGCCAACAAUGAAGGAAGUUGCAGAGCGACUACAAAUGUUAAGAAGACUUCAGACACAGCUUGUCACCAAGGCCAACCCUAUUCAAGAACAUUAUUCUUAUCGAGUACCAUUAGUUUCUGUGCCUUCAGAUGAGACUGGAAUGUUAGAGGACUGAGACAGACAAACUGGUGUUGGGGGUAGAUCUUGGAAGAUAAAUAUGUGAAAUGCCGAUCUUUUAUACUUUGCCUUUUUUCUCUUAAAUCAAAUGAAGCACAACUCUCCUGCUUAUUCAAGAAAAAACAAAUUCGACACUUUGUACUGCAAGUUCAUUGUGUGAUUCUUAAUAUACAACUAUAUAUUGUAAAUAACUGUCAGCACUAAUUGCAUCUGUAUUUCGAUUUUAAACUUUAUUUGGGUGUCAGAUUAAACUGUUAACAUAUCAAAGAGCUCCAGCUUUUCCUUACACAAUCAUUAUAUAGUCUUUGUCCAGAACCAGGAUUUUGACAUACUGGAUUAUGAUAGAUAGACUGUAUGGCACUGAGUUGAUGUAGAUCUACUAAUCAAAUCCAUGCUACAAUACUACAUCAAUACCUACCAUCAUAUCUGUUAAUGUUGAUAACUUAUAGUUCAUUUGCUAUGCAAUACCCCAUACUACCAAGAGUGGAAAAAAGAAAGUAAGAAACAAGUACAAAGACAAACAAAUGGAAGAGAACAUUUUGAACUGUGGUUCAACUUCAACAAACAGAUUAAACAACAUACCUUGUCAUCAUAAAAAAAAUUAUCUUGCCACAGAACCAAAUCCAUUAGAUAUGCAAUCAGGACCUAACAUUAGGCUAUCCAUUCCCUGCACAUACAAUUUACAGCGCAUGAGCAUGGUUAUCUUUCAGAGAUCUUAAUUAAACUGUGGAAGGCAAAUAUAGUAAUCAGAAUGCACUAGUUUCAAGCAGGAUCAGCAAAGACAGCAUUAAUCACAUAGAAAUAUGUAUUUGCAUAAGAGUGGGUGCAUUGAUGCACCUAGAGUGUCUCACAGGAAGGCCUAAUUUACAAGCGGUUCUUUUCAAUGUUCCAUUUUAUGGUCCAUCCCAUCGACCCAUUCCACCGAGCAAAUGCACUUUCAGAGGAAGCUUUAACAGCAUCAGGUCUCAGAACAUCAUUGCAUUAGCAUGAAGCAAAACUGUAUCAUAGAGGGGGAAAACGAAAUAACUGCUUGAAUUGUGUAUAGAACUAAACACCUGACUGUUUACAUGAAUGUAUCUAGCCAUGUACAGAAAAUAUGUAAGAAUACACUGAUAGUUCGUAGAAAUAUUACACAGCCAAAUUUGUUCAAAACAUAGCACCUUAAUAAAACGACAAACUAUGGGUUGAGUUGUUAGAGAAAUUUUGGUUUUACAUGCACAUAUGCCAUGCAACAGAACCUUUAAACUAAAAAAAAAGGACUCCAAAUCAGGUAUCAUCCCAAUAAGACAUGCCCUUUAUGCAGAGCUAUCAGAUACUAUCUCGCUGUACUACUUAGCAUAACAAUAACACCACCACCAAAGCCUUCUAAUUAUAAGCAAGUUGGGGAAAGCUAGAGAUGAAACCCAACAAGGGUAACAAAGAUACAGCAUAGAGUAACAAAACAAGUCUUAUAAAUCGUACUGAUGAUAAGAAGAAGGAAUUUUGCAGAGCCAGGAACCAACUAAACUAUACAUUUUACGUUCAUAUAAUUUAACCAACUAAAUUAUACAUCAUAUAAUUUAAAUCCAAUAACCUGCUACAAAGGUCCCACUGAAAGCAGUCAUGCUCAAGAAACUGGAGAAUAUCCAUGUCUUAAUAUUAUUAAUUCGCACAAACAGGAGCAGUACAAGAAGUACAUAGCAGCAGGAAAACAAGAGGUAAUAAUACAAAACAGACAGGAAGCGCCUAAUAUAGAGAAGACUAAUUCAGAUGUUUGGCUAUCCUCUCUUCAAUGCAGCUCAUUCCCUUUCACUCAAAUUGGCAUGCCUUUUGGCACGAUCUGGUCCUUUAUCCACAUGUAAAUAGGCACCAGAACAUAGUACGCAGCACAUAUUGUUCCUACGAGGAAGCGAAAGAAGAAGGUGAUCGGAUUCACUGGCUUGCUGACAUCCUCCGCCUUGGGACCAAGCUGCAUAAAAAAAUAAAAUGGAAAACUUAUACCAAAACCCCUGAAUGCCUGCCUACUGCAGGUACAGCAGGAAAUGAACAAAAUCUAAAGCCUCAACGAGAUGUGCCAAAAACGCAUUGAGAUGUGUAACUAUGAAUCAGAUAGCUACGCUUUCCAUUAGCAAAAAUGAAAGGGAAAGGUACCUCUAAGGGAGAGUCUCCGCUCUGUCUCUUGACGCCUGUGACAGAGCAACCCAUGAUGAGGCCAUGCCUUCGGACACCGCGGUACCACUUUGGUCCGAUCCUUUUCAGCUUGACAUCCUUAAACCCGGCCUUGGUGAACCACUCGAUGUACUCUUCCUCCUUGGGGAAGAGCAUCCACAUGUCGGCGAAGAAGCGGGACAGCCAGAAGGUUGGGUACACUGGGCCAAUCACACAAGCUAGCCCACCAAACCUCAACACCCUGUAGGCUUCCUUGAUCCCCCGCUGUGGGUCUGGCCAGUACUCGAUGCUGCAAGGUAUCAUCACAGGGGCAGGGAAAUCAGCAAUCCGUAGUGCAGUACUUGGGUAGCUGUUAUACUAAUGGAACUCGCAAUCCAUCACAACACCGUUAAUUUGGAACAUGGAACAUAUUCACGAUAUGCACAGUAGUGAAGUGAACUACUCAAGUGAAGUGAAGUGAAUCGAGGAGUAGGGGGGGAAGAACGACUCGAG
RNAcentral lists this long non-coding RNA (18480 nucleotides) under Sorghum bicolor (sorghum). Its description in RNAcentral is "long non-coding RNA (SBIC_LNC015190)". Lineage: Eukaryota; Viridiplantae; Streptophyta; Magnoliopsida; Poales; Poaceae. The record is from RNAcentral.